AGAGUUUGAUCAUGGCUCAGGAUGAACGCUAGCGGCAGGCUUAACACAUGCAAGUCGAGGGGCAGCACGGAGUAGCAAUACUCUGGCGGCGACCGGCGGAAGGGUGCGUAACGCGUGAGCAACUUGCCCGCAUCAGGGGGAUAAUCGUUGGAAACGACGUCUAAUACCCCGUAACAACGGAUGCUGCAUGGUAUCCGUUUGAAAGCUCCGGCGGAUGCGGAUGGGCUCGCGUGACAUUAGCUAGUCGGCGGGGUAACGGCCCACCGAGGCGACGAUGUCUAGGGGUUCUGAGAGGAAGGUCCCCCACACUGGAACUGAGACACGGUCCAGACUCCUACGGGAGGCAGCAGUGAGGAAUAUUGGUCAAUGGGCGGAAGCCUGAACCAGCCAUGCCGCGUGCAGGAAUGAGGCCCUAUGGGUCGUAAACUGCUUUUGUGGCGGAGCAAUAAGGUGUACGUGUACACCGAUGAGAGUACGUCACGAAUAAGCAUCGGCUAACUCCGUGCCAGCAGCCGCGGUAAUACGGAGGAUGCGAGCGUUAUCCGGAUUUAUUGGGUUUAAAGGGUGCGUAGGCUGGCGUUCAAGUCAGGGGUGAAAUCCCGGGGCCCAACCCCGGAACUGCCUUUGAUACUGUCCGUCUUGAAUUCGGAUGCCGUGGGAGGAAUGAGUAGUGUAGCGGUGAAAUGCAUAGAUAUUACUCAGAACACCGAUUGCGAAGGCAUCUCACGAAUCCGACAUUGACGCUGAGGCACGAAAGCGUGGGGAUCAAACAGGGUUAGAUACCUUGGUAGUCCACGCAGUAAACGAUGAUAGCUAACCGUCGGCGACACACAGUCGGUGGUCAAGCGAAAGCGAUAAGUCAUCCACCUGGGGGAGUACGACCGCAAGGUUGAAACUCAAAGGAAUUGACGGGGGCCCGCACAAGCGGAGGAACAUGUGGUUUAAUUCGAUGAUACGCGAGGAACCUUACCCGGGCUCGAACGGCUGGUGAACGGAGCAGAGAUGCCGAGGUCCUUCGGGACGCCAGUCGAGGUGCUGCAUGGUUGUCGUCAGCUCGUGUCGUGAGAUGUUGGCUCAAGUGCCAUAACGAGCGCAACCCUUGCCGCCAGUUACCAUCAAGUAGUGUUGGGGACUCUGGCGGGACUGCCACCGCAAGGUGUGAGGAAGGCGGGGAUGACGUCAAAUCAGCACGGCCCUUACGUCCGGGGCGACACACGUGUUACAAUGGGGGUUACAGAAGGAAGCUACCUGGUGACAGGAUGCGGAUCUAAAAAAGCCCCCUCAGUUCGGAUCGGAGUCUGCAACCCGACUCCGUGAAGCUGGAUUCGCUAGUAAUCGCGCAUCAGCCAUGGCGCGGUGAAUACGUUCCCGGGCCUUGUACACACCGCCCGUCAAGCCAUGAAAGCCGGGGGCGCCUGAAGUCCGUGACCGCGAGGAGCGGCCUAGGGUGAAACUGGUAAUUGGGGCUAAGUCGUAACAAGGUAACC
RNAcentral lists this ribosomal RNA (1487 nucleotides) under uncultured bacterium. RNAcentral describes it as "bacterial SSU rRNA". It matches the Rfam family "Bacterial small subunit ribosomal RNA". The record is from RNAcentral.